Spea bombifrons (plains spadefoot toad) is the source of this 489-nucleotide long non-coding RNA. RefSeq lists it as uncharacterized. NCBI's taxonomy places the organism in Eukaryota, Metazoa, Chordata, Amphibia, Anura, Pelobatidae. The record is from RefSeq and is a predicted model, not a curated record. The transcript is spliced from 2 exons.
CGGGGACACUCAGCCCGAAGCUUGUUGCGCGCCUCCUUAGGAAAGGGUCUGCGCAACCACUUGUGUAAGUAUAGUGCAAUAUACUCUGGUGGAGCCCACUCAGCGGCCCUGGGGUGGCACAUCGUGGUGGGGUCAAAUAAAGAGGAGCCGGUUGGGCGGCAGAGGUAAAAGAACUGCCACUCUCAGAAACAACAGAUGUUAUUCAAAAUGGAGUGCUCACCUCCAAAUAGACAAACACCCUGGGCACAUGGAAUAUAGAGGGCUCACCUCAAUCAAAGGCAGGAUUAAACCUGUAAAACACAAUUUGCAGUAUGUCAAAACUAAUGAAAUAUAGAAACCAAGAUGGCUGCCAGAAAACGGGGAAAAGACCCCUACACCAAAGACAUACAAAGAAAUAUAAAUGAAUAUAAGUAUAACAAUAAAAUAACUAUAAAUAAAAUAGAAAGAAAAUAAGCACCAAAAUAUGCAUAACAAGCAAAACUAUAUAAA